UGCGGCGUGGUUAAGACAUGCAAGUCGAACGAGAGAAUUGCUAGCUUGCUAAUAAUUCUCUAGUGGCGCACGGGUGAGUAACACGUGAGUAACCUGCCCCCGAGAGCGGGAUAGCCCUGGGAAACUGGGAUUAAUACCGCAUAGUAUCGAAAGAUUAAAGCAGCAAUGCGCUUGGGGAUGGGCUCGCGGCCUAUUAGUUAGUUGGUGAGGUAACGGCUCACCAAGGCGAUGACGGGUAGCCGGUCUGAGAGGAUGUCCGGCCACACUGGAACUGAGACACGGUCCAGACACCUACGGGUGGCAGCAGUCGAGAAUCAUUCACAAUGGGGGAAACCCUGAUGGUGCGACGCCGCGUGGGGGAAUGAAGGUCUUCGGAUUGUAAACCCCUGUCAUGUGGGAGCAAAUUAAAAAGAUAGUACCACAAGAGGAAGAGACGGCUAACUCUGUGCCAGCAGCCGCGGUAAUACAGAGGUCUCAAGCGUUGUUCGGAAUCACUGGGCGUAAAGCGUGCGUAGGCUGUUUCGUAAGUCGUGUGUGAAAGGCGCGGGCUCAACCCGCGGACGGCACAUGAUACUGCGAGACUAGAGUAAUGGAGGGGGAACCGGAAUUCACGGUGUAGCA
Molecule: ribosomal RNA, 621 nt
Filed under: Akkermansia muciniphila
Lineage: Bacteria; Pseudomonadati; Verrucomicrobiota; Verrucomicrobiia; Verrucomicrobiales; Akkermansiaceae
Description: bacterial SSU rRNA
Rfam family: Bacterial small subunit ribosomal RNA
Source: RNAcentral